GGAUUAGAUACCCUGGUAGUCCACGCCGUAAACGAUGUCUACUAGUUGUUGGGGAACUUGAUUCCUUAGUAACGAAGCUAACGCGAUAAGUAGACCGCCUGGGGAGUACGGCCGCAAGGUUAAAACUCAAAUGAAUUGACGGGGGCCCGCACAAGCGGUGGAGCAUGUGGUUUAAUUCGAUGAUACGCGAGGAACCUUACCUACUCUUGACAUCCAGAGAACUUACUAGAGAUAGUUUGGUGCCUUCGGGAACUCUGAGACAGGUGCUGCAUGGCUGUCGUCAGCUCGUGCUG
This 293-nucleotide ribosomal RNA is filed under the name uncultured bacterium. RNAcentral describes it as "partial 16S ribosomal RNA". It matches the Rfam family "Bacterial small subunit ribosomal RNA", at positions 775 to 1067 of the family's 1533-position model. The record is from RNAcentral.